This is an RNA transcript of Oncorhynchus gorbuscha (pink salmon), 2309 nucleotides long. It is a transcript of the gene named platelet glycoprotein Ib alpha chain-like, with no coding region annotated. The transcript has 3 exons. NCBI's taxonomy places the organism in Eukaryota, Metazoa, Chordata, Actinopteri, Salmoniformes, Salmonidae. The record is from RefSeq and is a predicted model, not a curated record.
UAAGUUGAUGGGUCAGGUCAUAGGUUAGGUUAAGUUUAAAGGUAGACUCAGGCAGAUGAAGUACACGCACAAAGUAAACUGUAGUAGUGGGUCAAUUUCCACAGCAGCCAGGGCCCGAAUUCCCAAAGGCAUCUUAAGUUCUUUGUUCAAACCUUAGUAGGAGUAUCGUCAAACAUGGCGCGACUCGCUACACCUCGGUCUCAGGGGAGAACUGCAAGCCUGCUGGAGCGAAUCAUACAGUCAGUCUCCUGAUUUUGCGGUGUAGGCACGGUCUCCGAACAACAAAGCAAGUCGCAAGGUCAACAAAUCCUCAGCACCUCAAUACUGGCAGCACACAGGUUGGUACACUGUCACAAGUAAUAAAAAACAAGGACACAACCCAAACGAUGGCACAAGCGACAGCAGAGCACCCUGAUGGAGGCUAGCUUGCUUGCUGCUCCAAGCUAUUGAAUAGAUUCCGGUAUCCUAUACUUCUGCGCUUAUACACUCUAACAUUGAGCUCUUACCAACGAGCCCUUCCUGGAACACGCGGAGAGAAGGAAGUGGAAGUAGUGCAGCGGCUGUUAUUUAAACGGGUUAUCCGCAGCACAACAGUACAUAACUCAGCCCGCCUAAAAGAUUAUUGGAAAUACUGCGGCUGUGAAGAGACUUAUGAAGUCCCAGCAAUAGAGAACUAGAAAAUGACAACGCUUCAAUAUUUGGGAAUAUCAGUACGUUUCAUCAUCGAUCUAUUGGGAGCUGUGAAUGCUGAAGUCAAUACAUUGACAGGGAGAGAGAGGCAGUCUGUUAUUCUACACACUGGACUAACUGGAGGCUGAUAAGAUAUUUUGGUUCUUUGGUCCAGUCAUUCCAAACACCUCAAUAGUUGAGAGUCAGGUCAUCAGAGGAGAGAACAUCACAGAAUUCAAAGGAAGAUUCCCAGACAGACUGCAGCUGGACAGAGAAACUGGAUCUCUCACCAUCCGAAAUCUCACCCUCAACAACUCUGGAGUUUCAGACAUUUUCAAUACACACAGAAUUUCUGAGAUGUUUUAUCGAUGCUCCAGUAUCACUUCCUCAAGUCAGAAAAAUCCCUCAAGGUGAUUUUCUGGACAGUUCAUCAGAGAAGGGGAGCUGUUCAGUGGGUGUUCUGUGGAGAACCAGAUAGAUAGGAACGUGUCCUGGUACAGAGGGGAGAAGAGACUCAACCAGACCAGCAGCCUUGGCCUCUCCACCAACCUGUCGCUCCCUCUGGAGACAAAGCUACAGGACAACAAUAUCUACAGCUGUGUGGCUGCCAACCCAGUCAGCAACCAGACAACCAAAUUCAACAUUGAAACACUCUGCCUUCAGUUUGUAGGUGUCAUUAAUUGUAAUGUGAAACAUUUUCUUUGUCAUUGGACUGGUUAAUUAGUUUACUUUGAUCCCCUGUCACUUAUAUUCUUCCAGCGUUGUGGGUUAGACACCAUAUAAAAUAAUAUUAUACUAAUAAUCUAAUAAAUAUUAGUAUUUACUACGGUAUUAGAAGCCUCCAACUGGACUCACCACAUCAUUUCAAUGUGGAAAUUUGGGUAAUAUUUGGUUGAGACAUUGUUCAAUGAGAUUUCCACCUUUAUUCACCCACCCAAAAAGACAGAAGUUGGAUGAAUUCCGAAUAUGUUCAACUAUCUAAAAGCACAACCAAAUUCCAAUAGAAAAACAAUGUCGGAUUUUUGGUAAAGUUGUCAUCUAAAUGUGUUCUCAUGCGCUUUCAACCAUAACUGCAACAAAGUUCAAAUCGGAAUACAUUGUCAGAUAUUUUAUAGUUGUACAACAACUAAAUGUAUUAUCGUGGUACUUCAUCUAAUGGCACAACCAAUUGACCUAGAAUGCAGUUUAGAUUACAUUAAAAGUACAUAGUUCAAUUGUGAAGAUUCCCACAGACCUGCUACCUUUCCAUGCUACAGUACAGUGAACAUGCACACUUGACAUUUAUAGUUACAGUAACCUCAAUGUGGCCAUGUAUGUGUUACUCAUUUUAAGGUUGAAUAAAUAUUGUUACAUUGGCUUGUAAUAUAGCCUUGACGGGCAAUUCCGCCACUUUUCAACCUCAUUCAUUAUUUCCAGUACCAAACCAGUGUCUACAGCGCGUUUUUAUGAUCUGUGGUUUAAAAUGCUUCUGUGACAACACAGUUCUCCUCACUUCACUGCGAUUCCAACACAAUCUCCUAUUGCGAGAUUGGGUUGCAAAAUGCAACACAAUCUCACAUUCAAUGCGUGCAUAUAUGUACAUAACGCAUUUCAUCAAAUUUCGUGCGGUUUUGUGUGGCUUAAUUCGUAAGAAAAGACAC